AGCUUUAUAUUCAAUAAUGAUAUUAGACUGCAAUUCUAAAGGAGAAAAAAUAAUUUCUAAAGCUU
Molecule: transfer RNA, 65 nt
Filed under: Empis separata
Lineage: Eukaryota; Metazoa; Arthropoda; Insecta; Diptera; Empididae
Description: tRNA-Cys
Source: RNAcentral